UACAGAGGGGGCAAGCGUUGUUCGGAAUUACUGGGCGUAAAGGGCGCGUAGGCGGCCUGCUAAGUCGAACGUGAAAUCCCUGGGCUCAACCCAGGAACUGCGUCCGAUACUGGUUGGCUUGAGUUCGGGAGAGGGAUGCGGAAUUCCAGGUGUAGCGGUGAAAUGCGUAGAUAUCUGGAGGAACACCGGUGGCGAAGGCGGCAUCCUGGACCGACACUGACGCUGAGGAGCGAAAGCCAGGGGAGCAAACGGG
This 253-nucleotide ribosomal RNA is filed under the name uncultured bacterium. RNAcentral's name for it is "partial 16S ribosomal RNA". It matches the Rfam family "Bacterial small subunit ribosomal RNA", at positions 524 to 776 of the family's 1533-position model. The record is from RNAcentral.